Molecule: ribosomal RNA, 256 nt
Filed under: uncultured bacterium
Lineage: Bacteria
Also listed under: 1 other name
Description: partial 16S ribosomal RNA
Rfam family: Bacterial small subunit ribosomal RNA
Source: RNAcentral
UACAGAGGUCUCAAGCGUUGUUCGGAUUCAUUGGGCGUAAAGGGUGCGUAGGCGGCAGCGUUAGUCAGGUGUGAAAGCCUGGGGCUUAACCCCAGAAGCGCACUUGAUACUGCGCUGCUUUUAGAGGACUGGAGAGGAGAGUGGAAUUCACGGUGUAGCAGUGAAAUGCGUAGAUAUCGUGAGGAAGGCCAGUGGCGAAGGCGGCUCUCUGGACAGGACCUGACGCUGAGGCACGAAGGCUAGGGGAGCAAACGGG